This 468-nucleotide ribosomal RNA is filed under the name uncultured bacterium. RNAcentral describes it as "partial 16S ribosomal RNA". It matches the Rfam family "Bacterial small subunit ribosomal RNA", at positions 28 to 507 of the family's 1533-position model. The record is from RNAcentral.
GACGAACGCUGGCGGCGUGCUUAACACAUGCAAGUCGAACGGAAAGGUCCUGCUUUUGUUGGGUGCUCGAGUGGCGCACGGGUGAGUAACACGUGAGUAACCUGCCCCUGUCUUUGGGAUAACUUCAGGAAACUGGGGCUAAUACCGGAUAGGAGCUCCUGCUGCAUGUUGGGGGUUGGAAAGUUUCGGCGGUUGGGGAUGGACUCGAGGCUUAUCAGCUUGUUGGUGGGGUAGUGGCUUACCAAGGCUUUGACGGGUAGCCGGCCUGAGCGGGUGACCGGCCACAUUGGGACUGAGAUAAGGCCCAGACUCCUACGGGAGGCAGCAGUGGGGAAUAUUGCACAAUGGGCGGAAGCCUGAUGCAGCAACGCCGCGUGCGGGAUGACUGCCUUCGGGUUGUAAACCGCUUUCGCCUGUGACGAAGCGUGAGUGACGGUAAUGGGUAAAGAAGCACCGGCUAACUACGUG